GGUGUCGUAGUUAUAUUACGACACCGGUUUUAAUUUAACAUAUUAAACCGUUUUUAAACCGGUUUUAAAGACUUUUUCAGAAUUAAAAAAAAAAGAAAAAAAAUAAAUCCAAAGUCUGAGUUCAAAGUUCAAACACGUCAUUAGCCCUAAACCCCUUUCUGCCGCCUACCAUCUUCUUCCAAAGUUUCAGCCCUAAACACGUCGAUCUCUCCGGCGCCGAUUCACGCCGACCAACGCCACUCGUUCCUUCCGCCGCCGUCGUUAUCUCAACAAUCAACGAAGCCACGAACCACGUUCUCUACCGCCUCGCUCCAAUCUUAAAUCCGUAGGUGUCCCUGCCGUCGUCGCCGCCCCAAUCUCCACCGGUCAGCAAGCAACGAAAAUCGACGCUGCUCUGAGCCUUUGUCCGAUCCCCCUAGCGCCGUGCUUCGCCGCUGCUUUGAGCUGCUGUACUCCAGAAACGCCGUUGCUCUGAAGCUUUCUCCGGUCUCCGCCACCGCUGCUCUGAGCCUUUGUUCGAUCGCCCUAGCUUGCUCUGGUUUACCUUGUUGUACACCAGACGGCGAAUGUUGUAAUUGCUAACAUACUAGACGAGGCAGGAGCAGAAGUAGCAGCUGAAAUCAGAGGGCAGUACUCUUCCGGUCUGCUCUCGACUUAGCCGCUGCUGUGAGGCUUUCUUUGGUCGCUGCUCCUUGAGGUUAGUUUAUGUGUAGCUUAAUUUCAUUAUUAAUUACUGGCAGAAAAUCAAUUUUAUGCUGCACUACAAUCUUGUUUCAUCCGAGUAUAAUUCUUUGCUUGUAACUAAGAUGUUCAAAUUUUAUGCUGCACUACAAUCUUGUUUCAUCCGAGUAUAAUUCUUUGCGCGCAUUGAGCUUCUGAUCUGCCUUUCUCUACCCUGGUCCGACGUGCUUCGUUGCCACCCUGAGCCUUUCUCGGGUCGUCCAGUCGUGACUACAUUUUCCUAAUAGAGGCUUUGCUUUCUGGUUGCUUUGUUGGGGGUUUGGCCACCUUUCUACAUUUUGACAACUUCACUAGUUAUUUGCCACAAAAUGCAAGUGCCAAGUGCCUAAGUGAUGCAGGGUUUUUCUUGAUGCAAUAGAUAUGACCAAUAUAGCAAAUACUAUAAUGCAGCAAUUGACAAGAUUGAGGAGCACUAUUCAGAGGCAAUAUGAUGAAUGGUAGCUUGGGAAGCAAAGGGGAAAAAAAAUUAAUUGUUGAAAAGUUGAGGCUUGAAGAACAUUGCAUCUUUGGAAUUUUGAUUUUGAAACUUGCUAUUAGAUUUUUGAUAAGUUAUUAGAUUCAUAGUUGGAAAUUGAUGCAAAUCAUUCUAGAUGAUUGUUAGAUUUUGAAAAAUUGUUAGACUCAUAGUUGAAACAUUUUAGAUAAUUGUAAUGAAUGUAAAUGAUAAUUAGAUGUGUAAAUCCAUAUUUGAUGUUUAUUAUUUUUA
Long non-coding RNA from Salvia miltiorrhiza (redroot sage), 1447 nucleotides. RefSeq lists it as uncharacterized. NCBI's taxonomy places the organism in Eukaryota, Viridiplantae, Streptophyta, Magnoliopsida, Lamiales, Lamiaceae. The record is from RefSeq and is a predicted model, not a curated record. The transcript has 4 exons.